CCUACGGGAGGCUGCAGUGGGGAAUAUUGCACAAUGGGGGAAACCCUGAUGCAGCGACGCCGCGUGAGCGAUGAAGUAUUUCGGUAUGUAAAGCUCUAUCAGCAGGGAAGAAAAUGACGGUACCUGUCUAAGAAGCCCCGGACAACUCCGUGCCAGCAGCCGCGGGAAUACGUAGGGGGCAAGCGUUAUCCGGAUUUAAGGGGUGGAAAGGGGGCGUAGACGGUCCUGCAAGUCUGAUGUGAAAGCCUGGGGCUCAACCCCGGGACUGCAUUUGGAACUGGAAGGCUGGAGUGUCGGAGAGGCAGGCGGAAUUCCUAGUGUAGCGGUGAAAUGCGUAGAUAUUAGGAGGAACACCAGUGGCGAAGGCGGCCUGCUGGACGAAGACUGACGUUGAGGCUCGAAAGCGUGGGGAGCAAACAGGAUUAGAUACCCUUGUAGUC
This 440-nucleotide ribosomal RNA is filed under the name uncultured bacterium. Its description in RNAcentral is "partial 16S ribosomal RNA". It matches the Rfam family "Bacterial small subunit ribosomal RNA", at positions 338 to 795 of the family's 1533-position model. The record is from RNAcentral.